Falco tinnunculus (common kestrel) is the source of this 2566-nucleotide long non-coding RNA. The record is from Ensembl. NCBI's taxonomy places the organism in Eukaryota, Metazoa, Chordata, Aves, Falconiformes, Falconidae.
AGCGGAAAGCGUUUGACAGCUGAGGCCCCACGCGAUUGGCCGGUGUCCCGGCUGAGGGGCGGGGCGCGGCGCCGCGGAGGAAGAUGGCGGUCCGGCGGCCGGUGAGGGGCCGGGGUGGGAGGGGGGUUCUGAGGGGAGGUACGCGUCCUCCACCUCGGCACCGGCGGGGCUGGUUGUACACUGUCGCUUUGAAGCAGGGAAGCCACAUGCUGCGGAAGCGGUCCUGGUUCCUUCUGUCCCUGCACAGCGGACAUCAGCUGUGGUGCCUGGGACAUUUAAUAAUGGUGCAGUGUGUGAGGGGAAGGACUUGGAAGAUUGGCAGAAAGAACUUUACAAGAAGGUGAUAAAGGAGAAUUAUGAAUCUUUAACCACGCUGGGUAAAGACUAUGCUGUUCCCAAAAGCAAUAUCCAGGUGAGAGGAACACUGCCUGUCAAGCAUCAGCAGGAUUUUGAGGAAAGGCAGAUUUCCACAAGUCUUGGUGCAGGCUGCGGCUGUCCUGUGAUCAGAUCCGAGUUGCAGAGUCACGCAAAGAGUGCAGAAAAUACAGAACUGCAGGGAUCAUUCUCAGGAGGAACCUGAGACCAGAGUUGCUAAAUUUUGGACAAGGGGGUAACAUGCAAGAGUCAUCAUAAUUCAGCAACAGGUCAGGCAAAUCCAAUGGGAAGCAGAAGAGGCAAUGGCUCUCUUGAGGAACAACCUAAUGAAUUCAAAGAGAUCCUCUUUUAUCAGCAGACCUAUGCAGGAGAAAGACUGUAUCUGUGUACAGAAUGUCAGAAAUUUUUUUAAAAUUUUUUUUUAAUUUUUAAAUUGAAGAUUGGACUUCUAAAAUACAAACAAAUUCACACUAAACAUCAUCGGGUAUCAUCUUAUAUAUGCACAGACUGCGGUAAAAACUUUGGUCACCACGCAGUCUUGAUUCGCCACCAGAGAACUCACACAGGAGAGCGGCCUUACAAGUGUACGGAAUGUGAAAAAAAGUUUUAUGGAAAAACCGAGACUCACUAAUCACUUGCGAACUCAUAACAUAUACAUGUAAUCAGUGUGCCAGAAGCUUUCCUGGGGUAGAUUUUUUUUUUUCCAUUUGGUUAUCAAAAAAUCCCUCCAUCCAGAGAUGAUGGUUGAUAGUCAUAUAUUGAUUGUAGGGGAAGCUUUAGGAUAAGGGUUUUACUAAACUGAAUCAAGUUCAAGCAUAAAAGCUUGUUGGUGCCAGGCUAACGGUCAUCGAUUAGGACCUGAUUUUAAUUAGCAGCUAGAUGAUUAUUAAUAUCUGGGAGGAGGAGUUGUGUAGAGCAGUGUUGAUGGUACCAAAAGCACUGUUAAAAAAAGUCUUCUGGUGCACCAAACAGCAUGUGCUGGAGAAUGUAUUAAUGCAGGAAAAUGCUCAAAGCUUUUUGAGUAUGGGAAGACUGAGAAAGUGUUGCCAUCAGAACAGAAUGGUCCACAGAGCUGUAAGCAGGAAAUGGCGCUUUUAAAAGCUUAGGUUAAGGUGAGUGGUUGGGUUUGAUUUAAAAACAGUAACAACAAAAAAAUUAGUUCAGCAGUUUCAGUCAUAGGACAGCAGCAGUGGCAGUGAAAGCACUGUCAUGUGGAAAUAACGACCAGAAUCAGUUGCUUCAAACAUCUGUUUACUGGGGGCAAGAUGCCAAUUUAAUUUCUGAGAUUCUGGAAAAGAGCAUGGAUAUAUUCUUAAUGUAAGUACAAAGUACAGGUAACAUCGCUCUGUAAACUGAAAAGAAAGCAGUGGCUUCGGCUAUGGGGAUGAGUUCAGCAGGCAGGACGGGGUCCUGCGGAGACAGUGUUUGUCAGUCACAUAUUCUCUACGCAGGCUGGGGAUAUUUAGCAUUUUUGCUUUUCCAGUUGAAUGCAAAGAGUCAAAAAGUUGUGUUGCCUCCAGUUCAAGCACCUGCUUCGCAGUGAACCCGUGAGUGAUGUCCUCAGCUUCCCAUGAGGAGCAGUAGAGCAAGAGACAGCUGGUGCUGUGAUGCAAUUCAAUAAGUUCUGAAGGGGACUGGGGGGAUACACUUGGGACCAAAGGAUCCCUGCCCAUCCCAAGUACAGGAGUAAUGUCCAGAAAGUUUUUACCACUGGCUUCUCAUUAUUUCCUUCUUAAAAUUGCCCUGGGACAGCUUUUCUUUUAUUCUUCAUAGAAUCCCUGAUUGGUGUGGUUUGGAAGGGACCUUAAAGACCCCCCAGUCCCACCCCUGCCACGCGCAGGGCCCCCUUCCCCCAGCCCCGGUGGCUCCCAGCCCCGUCCAGCCUGGCCUUGGGCACUGCCAGGGCUGGGGCACCCACAGCUGCUCUGGGCAGCCCGUGCCGGCGCCUCGCUGCCCUCACAGGGAAGGAUUUCUCCCUCAGCUCUGAUCUCCAUCUGCCCUCUCUCAGCGCAAAGCCCUUCCCCCUUGUCCUGGCGCUGCAGGCCCUUGGGAAAAGCCCCUCCCCAGCUUCCUCGCCGGCCCCUUUGGGUGCUGGAAGGUGCUCCAGGCUCUCCAGGAGCCUUCCCUUCUCCGGGCUGAACAGCCCCAGCGCUCCCAGCCCGGCUGCACAGCAGAGGGGCUCCAGCCCUCU